This 470-nucleotide ribosomal RNA is filed under the name uncultured low G+C Gram-positive bacterium. Its description in RNAcentral is "bacterial SSU rRNA". It matches the Rfam family "Bacterial small subunit ribosomal RNA", at positions 8 to 491 of the family's 1533-position model. Lineage: Bacteria; Bacillati; Bacillota. The record is from RNAcentral.
AGAGUUUGAUCCUGGCUCAGGAUGAACGCUGGCGGCGUGCUUAACACAUGCAAGUCGAGCGCGGUCCCUUUGGUGCUUGCACCAAAGAAGACUGAGCGGCGGACGGGUGAGUAACGCGUGGGUAACCUGCCCUAUACACAUGGAUAACAUGCUGAAAAGCAUACUAAUACAUGAUAACGUACACUGAUGGCAUCUUCGGUGUAUCAAAGCGUUAGCGGUAUAGGAUGGACCCGCGUCUGAUUAGCUAGUUGGUGGGGUAAAAGCCUACCAAGGCCACGAUCAGUAGCCGACCUGAGAGGGUGAUCGGCCACAUUGGAACUGAGACACGGUCCAAACUCCUACGGGAGGCAGCAGUGGGGAAUAUUGCACAAUGGGCGAAAGCCUGAUGCAGCAACGCCGCGUGAACGAUGAAGGUCUUCGGAUCGUAAAGUUCUGUCGCAGGGGAAGAUAAUGACGUACCCUGGAGAAGC